RNAcentral lists this long non-coding RNA (4228 nucleotides) under Homo sapiens (human). Its description in RNAcentral is "long non-coding RNA NONHSAT156128". Lineage: Eukaryota; Metazoa; Chordata; Mammalia; Primates; Hominidae. The record is from RNAcentral.
GUGGUAAAUAGAGAUUUUGACAGUGACUUGGGCAAAUGGGAUGUGUAGGGACCAUUCUGAAGGCUCCUGUCCCUCCCAGAGAAAAGGGGGAAAAAAUCAAUUUGGGUUUUAAACAGAGCCACCAAGUAGCACCGAUCAGUGUUGAUAAUUAGCCUCACUAUCAUAAGCCAUGAAGUCCUGUUUUUAUUUAUUUAUUUGGGGGACAGAGAAUCUUCCUGCCUCUUGAGUAAGUGUGGCCUGUUAAGUCUGAAUUAGCUGUCAUCACAGAAGAAUUAAUGUCGGAGUGCAGACUUUCUAGUGGGGAAGGGAAGAACUAAACGAGACAGAUCUUAGCCAAGCCUUGAGUGAUAAAUGAGGACCAAGUGGACCAUUCAUCUCCUGCGAGGAGAGUGGACAGAGGCACUAAGGCAGUUUUGCGGAAGACGUGUCAGCAAAUGUGAUCAUUUUGUUACCUGUCAGGAGGAGAGAGAGCUCGUCCUUUUAGGGGGCCACGAGGGAGUGGGUUGGUCUGAUAAGACAGUUUCCAUUCAACCGUUUAGGUUUGGAGAAGAAGGGGAUGGGUGAGGAGGAAUCUGACUAAAACUACAACCUGAUGUCAUCCUUCCAGGAAAUAAACUCAUCUAGGAAGUAGAAAAUACCCUGCAAAGAUUUUUUUGUGUGUGAAGAUACAAAGUAGGGGUGUGGGGUCUCUGUUCCGUGGGGAGCCCAGCUUCAUCUCCCCAGCUCCUCCCCAUGGAAGACCCAUGUCCAGUGUUUGGUGACUGGAGUAGGGCAGCAGGCCUUUUGCUGCUUGGUAUUUGGAGGAGGGUUGGAUGGGGUUUGCCGUGGGGUUUUAAGCUGGACAGAUAGCUGGCUAGACUGCCAGCCAGCUCAUGUCUCUAUUUCCGUGCAGCUCUGUGAGAGCGAGCGUGGGCACGGCUGUUUGACCUAGGUUCCCUUUGAAACUCUCAACAAAGCAUUCUGAUGUUCGACCUCUUUUCUCCGAAUGAGGUAACAAAUUAUGAAACAACCUCAUCAGAAGCUCUCUGCAGGCAUCUGGGAGCGUGUGUCUCCACUCUGGUCCCCCUUCUAAGUUGCUGGUUCCCCAUCAGCGUGCAGCCCAGCCAGAACCCAGGGAGGUAGAAUCCCUGGAGGUAAAGGCCCAGCAACAGACGCACAACAGGCACCUUGAGUACAUUGUAUAUUUCUCAUUUCCAUCUUUUUUGCUAUGGAGCAAAUGUAACGUUUCCUCCUAGCGUAACGGAGCGUGAGCCACACUGACAGAUGAUGGUUUCACAGCCUAAGCUGCACAUUUGACACUUGUUUCUUAAUCCCAUCCUUUUCUUCCUUAGUCUCUGUUUUACUUUUCCCCAGGUAUUUUUGUGCAGGUAAGUACAUUGCUGACAUGUGUUUCCUUGGAGUAUUUUACUUUAACAGGAAACACUGCAAAAAAUGAGGCUUGUCUCGCCUUUUAAAUUAGAAAGAGAAGCUCGCAAGGGGCCCUUGAUCACUUAAAGAGGCUACAUGAUUUUCUGAGCCUCGAAAGCCAUUUGAUUCGCCUUAGCUUUGCAGUAAGCAUUUCUCGGAGGGCAGCGUGACAAUCAUGUGGAGCCUUUCGUUUCCUCGUGGAUCGUUUGUAGAACCAGAAAGCUGCGUGAUGUCUCUUUCGCGCGCGCACACACACACACACACACACACACACACACACGCUCCCCACCCCCACCUGCAAAGCUGCCGUUUGAUUAGCCAACCUGGCCUCGGACGGCGUUUGUGGGAAGGCCUUCCACUUAUCUGUGUGUGUUUUUUCUCCUUUGCUGUCUCCUAGAAUCAUCCAGAACCGCAUCCUGCUCGUCAUCCUAGGGAUCAUCGUGGUCAUCACCAUCCUGAUGGCGAUCACUUUUUCUGUCAGAAGACACUGAUGUAUCUGCUCUCCCUUGAUAAACAGCAACAACAGCUUGUUCUGAGUAAUUAAGACAAAAUGGUCACAUGAAUCAUUCUGUUGCGCUGACAGGCCCCAGGUGACCCUCUCUCUCCCUCACCGCCGUUGGGCUGAAGUGCAAAGAGUGUAAAAAUAUUUUCUAUUCCUGUUUGCAUGUGGGUUGGUUUCCUUUUCGAGGUUUGUCUUCACCCAGAUUCGUUUUUUAGAGGGGAAGGUGAAUGUUUAUUUACCUUUUUGCUAAUGUCAUCAACUAGCCAAAAUAGCCCCAGUGACACUCCUAGCCCUCUGGACGUGUCAAGGGCCGUGGUUUGGGAGAGGACAUGAUGAGUCAGUCACGAGAGCUUCUGUUUGUCACCCGCCUCUUGUUGCUGAAAAGCUCUUCUGUGAUGUCUGAGGAUAAAAAUGCAGCAAAAAGCAGGGGAUGGAGUCAGUGACCCCGUCCAGCAAGCCAGCCCUGUUCCUACACAGGCCUCAUGAAUAUAGUCAUCAACCUGCCUGAGUGCUUUCAUUGUAAAGGUCGGUAUUUAAUGUCGGUUGUACAGGAAAUUGACUUAGCACUUUCCCUGUUUUUCUAUUGCAUAAUUUUUUUUUUAACCCAAAGAUAUUUUUUUUGCUGAGCCUGCCCAGUAUUCACUGUUCACAACUUUGAUUACUGGCUACAAGAAAUAUUUUCUUGCCUUCCCCAAAUCCCAUACUCCCCAGAAUCUGCUGGCAAAGUGAGCCCUGGUACAGGAUUUAAUUGUGACCUCGUCUUCCCUGACCUGUGUAAGCAUCUCUGUAUCCUUUCGGUUUUAAUAUCUGCACUGCCAAAAGCAGUCCUCAUACUUGCAAAAGGUCUGACAAGGUUCUCUCCACAUACAUUCCAGUAUGUAAAGAGACCAUGAAUAUUUCAGUAAGAGCAAGAACAUGACUCCAUCAGUGUGAAAUUUCAAAUGUGAUUAUAAAUAUGGGAGAGUCCUAUAGGAGGGUCCACCAGAGAUAAACUUCACGGAAAACGUUCCCUAACCUCCUUUAAAAGAAUAGAGGAUGGCAGAUUGUUCCAAAAGGAAUGGCUUGGGUUUUUAACUAACAAAUGUUAGCAAGCCUUUCUUGAAUUCACUAUGUAUUCAAACUUCUAAUAUGCUUUGUGAUUUUUUUCUUUCAUUUCUUUCUGUCUGAGGUAACCAGGAAUUGCGUUCAAAAUGAGCUCAUUUGUGAUCAGGCUUAAAAGUUGCCCAAGCUGAGGUCGUUUCCCCCCAGUCACAAAGCAGAAUGUUUUUCUCAAGACUUCAUAGGCACUUACUGGUCCGUACUAUCUUUGGAAUAUAAUUAGAAGCUUUGAAUCCUUGAAAAGCAAACCUGUUCUCUUCAUCAAAAAUGCUAACCACCUGUGCCCGUGGAUCAAUAUCACCUGGAUGUAGUGCUUGAUAUUUUUCCCAACUCAGAAGAAAACCAUUAUGGUUUAGAGAGGAAAUGCAGAAUGGCAGAAUCCACCAGAGAAAUUGCACUUAUCGAAACAGGCCAAGGCCUGCAUGUGUUCGGAUAAAUCAUUUAGUAUUGUGUAAAUAAAGCUGCAGCCUUUACUUCGGAGGGAUGGUGUGGGAUUUUGGCCGAGGGAAGCAGGACAGAGAAGGAGCAGGAAGCUAUGCUAAUUUUCCUGUCAGCUUAAGGGAUCCGUCUCAGCAAGAAUCUUGUAUUCUGAUAACGGAAUGCUGUACGUGCUGACCACAUCUAAGAACCAUUAAAAAGCAAGGAAACAAACAAACAACCCUUUUCUCAUUCCGACACACGAAUAGUCAUCGAGUAUUACACCAGCCCCUCUGGUGGCUUCCUUCAAAACUGUUGAUCUUAGCUAAAGUGUAUAACCAGUUACCAGCUGCACUUCGCACGGCCAUCCCGUCCACAAUGCAGCAGACUCUUCCCAAGGCCACCUAGCAAGCAAGGUUGAUCGGAUCAUCUAAACUGGCCGCCUCCUGAAUAUUUCACUGAAUCCUGGCGUUCAUGUUGAAGCAGACAAAAUGAGAAAGGAGGAGGGCAUUGCUCACCUCUCAAUAGCUUUUUUCGUUCAAGUUCUAUGUCUUUAUCAGCUCUUGCCUGUGAUUUUACCCCAAUUCAACCUUGGGAGUGGGAAGAAUAUGAACAGAUAACCCUUGGCCUAACAGCUCCAUCAAACCUCCUUGAGAGCAACUACCUAGGCCAGGCUAGUGAGUGCUUUGUGAGGAAGCUGGUCAGAAGGUUCCCUCAACUCCUUCCUGGUCCUCCUGGACACUGCAGAAAAGACUUAGGGGAUCCCCAGCAGAGGCCAAUUGCUCUCCUUCCUUCCCUGCCCCA